RNAcentral lists this ribosomal RNA (403 nucleotides) under uncultured bacterium. Its description in RNAcentral is "partial 16S ribosomal RNA". It matches the Rfam family "Bacterial small subunit ribosomal RNA", at positions 28 to 526 of the family's 1533-position model. The record is from RNAcentral.
GACGAACGCUGGCGGCGUGCCUAAUACAUGCAAGUCGAACGCAGUGGGGACGGGUGAGUAACACGUGGGUAACCUCCCAUCAGAGGGGAUAACACUUGGAAACAGGUGCUAAACCUAUACUGAUGGAUGGACCCGAGGUGCAUAAGCUAGCUGGUGAGGUAACGGCUCACCAAGGCCACGAUGCAUAGCCGAUCAGAGAGGGUGAUGCGCCACACAGGGACUGAGACACGGCCCAGACUCCUACGGGAGGCAGCAGUAGGGAAUCUUUGGCAAUGGACGAAAGUCUGACCGAGAAACGCCGCGUGAGUGAAGAAGGUGUUCGGAUCGUAAAACUCUGUUGGCAGAGAAGCGGGAUCUAACCAGAAAGCCACGGCUAACUACGUGCCAGCAGCCGCGGUAAUUC